GCCGGGGUCUCCUAGUCGCUAUGGAGGCGGUCUCGAAAACCGCUGUGUACGCACGCGAGAGUUCAAGUCUCUUCCCCGGCGCCA
This 84-nucleotide transfer RNA is filed under the name Candidatus Thorarchaeota archaeon. RNAcentral's name for it is "tRNA-Ser". It matches the Rfam family "tRNA". From Rfam's summary of the family: Transfer RNA (tRNA) molecules are approximately 80 nucleotides in length. The record is from RNAcentral. Lineage: Archaea; Promethearchaeati; Candidatus Thorarchaeota.